This 328-nucleotide ribosomal RNA is filed under the name uncultured eukaryote. RNAcentral's name for it is "partial 18S ribosomal RNA". It matches the Rfam family "Eukaryotic small subunit ribosomal RNA", at positions 1470 to 1796 of the family's 1831-position model. The record is from RNAcentral.
CCCUUAGAUGUCCUGGGCCGCACGCGCGUUACACUGAUGCAUUCAACGAGCUUAUAACCUUGGCCGAGAGGCCUGGGCAAUCUUGUUAACGUGCAUCGUGAUAGGGAUAGAUUAUUGAAAUUAUUAAUCUUGAACGAGGAAUUCCUAGUAAACGCAAGUCAACAGCUUGCGUUGAUUACGUCCCUGCCCUUUGUACACACCGCCCGUCGCUACUACUGAUUGGAUGUUUAAGCGAGGUUCUCGAGCUGCUAGCGACUUAGCUUCGGUGAGGUCGCAGUGUGGGAAGUGAACCUAGCUUUGGUGUCUAGAGGAAGUAAAAGUCGUAACA